UCUACUUGACCUCCUCACAGUCUCCCUUUCUAUAGUGCAAGCUCGACUAGACAGUUUUGACAAUAGUGAUAUUAAGGCUCUGCUUGGUGCCAUGCAAUCUGCAUUUGGGGUGCCAGCUAGCCACAGGACUCAUCUGGAAAAAAACAACGGCCCAACCCUGAGAACUUUGGGAUUCACGGGAAAUUACAGUUCCCCUGAUGAUGCAGGACCGGACCAGGAUUUCACUCAUCAACUGGCCUAGAUUAAGGAGAAAGAAAUCUACAUUUCUGAACCUGGUAACGUCUGAGCAUACUCAUGGAAGAAAGAGCUGGCCUAUGAGCGUGAGUCAUUCAACAAAUAUUUCUGAGUUUUUACAGUGUGCUAGAUACUCUUUACAUGCUGAAUGAGACAGCAAAACUAAGACUGCUCAGGAUAAUUGAGAAAUUAUCGCUUUCUUCCUGUAGGCAUCCCCUGCUUUUCACUAACACUUUUUUCUUCUUGUUGGAAGGGUGGAUAUUAUGGCUGGAGCUGCAGCAGCCAUCAUGCCAACAUGAGGGAAAAGCUGAUGGAAUUGUGGAGACUUUGGCCUUGUGAUUCAGCCCUGGAUGAGUUGUCUCCACAUUACUUAUCAUAUAAGAGAAAAACCAAUUCCAUUAAGAACACAAUAAAAUAUCUUCAUGAAUGAUCCUCCAUUUGGAAACAAAUGCAUUUGGAUGAGGGACCAUCUCUCGAAGCUAAGGAUUAAAAUAUCGCUUCAGUACCACAAAGAAAUUAGGCUGUUCCUUUUGGAGUGUUUUAAUAGUUAGCUGAGUGCUCCUCAGGAAGAAGCCACAUACCCGGAGCGUAACCAGGAGACAGUCAUGGAACCGUAACGCAGACCAUGGACUGCAGCAGCUUGGUUUGGAGCUGGGUCAAACCUCACAGUAAGGCUCCAUCUCAGGCCUGGCUGCAAAGUCAACAUCUCUCUGCAUCCAUGUUUUCACAUUUACCUUUCUGGAGCGGCAAUAGGAAAAUGUUUCCCUAAAAGAAAAGACAGUGAUGCUUUCAUCGAAAGAAAAAGUAAAGAACUAUUGUGUGUGCCUAACCAAUCUUACAGGGGGGAAAAGAUUUAUAUUAUCUUGAAAACAUAAUUUGGUCUUGUUCAGGCCAUUGGGGGAGACCAUCUACAUUCUUACCAUGACUGUGAGACUGAUACUGCCCACAACGAUACCAGUACUGAGUGAUGAAGAACAUUUUGCUAAGUUGUUCUAUCGUGGUCCUUGCUUAAGGGGAUUGUUGGACGGAUGUUGUGGGAACUGAACUUGAAGAAGGAAGAGCCCAUCAUUUGGACACAUCUUAGGGCUUCCCAGCUGCACCAGGUUAUGGACAAGGGACCUGGAACCCCAACCCUUCCAGUCACUAACCACAUGGCCUGAGAUGUCAUUUCAUGCAGCUGGGCUCUUUGUGCUCAUCAGCAAGUGAUGUAAAUAAAGCAUGUGAGGUUAGCACACCGUAUAUUCUCAAAUCCUGGAGCUACUGGUCCUCUUGUGACUAUUAUUAUUAUUAAUAUUAUAAUGAA
Molecule: long non-coding RNA, 1537 nt
Filed under: Homo sapiens (human)
Lineage: Eukaryota; Metazoa; Chordata; Mammalia; Primates; Hominidae
Description: HSALNT0122380
Source: RNAcentral